AUAAAAUGUCCCAAGGUUAAUGCUGUAGAUAUUGUUAUAAGGGGAUAACAACUUGUCAGGUGGUGCAUUGGAGACUGAUGUGAUCCUGUCCUGUCUUUUCACAAUACUAUUGCAGUACACAGCCAAGACAACGCAGGAGUGGCUUCGGGACAAGUGUCUGAAUGUUCUUGAGACGCCCAGCCAGAGCCCGGACCUGAACCCGAUCGAACAUCUCUGGAGAGACCUGAAAAUAGCUGCGCAGCGAUGCUCCCCAUUUCAAGCUGACAGAGCUUGACAGGAUCUGCAGAGAAGAAUGGGAGAAACUCCCCAAAUAUAGGUGUGCUAAGCUUGUAGCGUCAUACCCAAGAAGACUCGAGGUUGAAGUCUCUGCCAAAGGUGCUUCAACAAAGUACUGGGUAAAG
RNAcentral lists this long non-coding RNA (401 nucleotides) under Salmo salar (Atlantic salmon). Its description in RNAcentral is "lncRNA (ENSSSAG00000084475.1)". Lineage: Eukaryota; Metazoa; Chordata; Actinopteri; Salmoniformes; Salmonidae. The record is from RNAcentral.